CAGGAGCUCAGCUACACCGUCGUCUUCUGGCGCCGGGUGCAGCUCGUAGUAGCCGUCGGCGAGACGCAGCUCUACACGAAUGCAAUGCAUUGGUUAGCAUAGACGGUUAUUUCAACAGCAACACUUGCAAGUCUGAGCCUAGAAACUUGCGACAAGUUACAGGAGGGUGGGGAGGUUCAAUGGAGUUGAUGGAGAUCAAGAGGUAAGGGUCGGAGGGAAAGAACUUAUGAUCUGACCCUUAAUCUAGAGGGUUUGAUGUACUAGGGGUCCUCAGACUCAACGCUGAAAGGUCCCCAAGUUUUGCACAUACACCCUCGGUUCAAAGAAAAAGAUACAGCCGAACCCUUGGGCGAGGCGGAGAAGGGUCGGCGGAACAGACAGGGUCGGGCGAGACAGAACCGGGGUCGGGCGGAUAAGAGGGGUCGGGCGGAUAAGAGGGGUCGGGCGAAGCGAACAAGGGUCGGCAGCCUACCUUCGUCUUACAGAGGAGGCUUGGGCAGAAGAACUAAGGGCUUGGGACGGCGGCGAGAAUGUCCGGCGGCAGCGGUGCUUCUUGUGGAUCACAAGCAAGCUCUUGGGUAGCACUGAAAGCAGUGGCUGGCGGAUCGGGGGAAAGCGGUGGUGCUUGAGCAGAGAGGAGAGUUCCUCAGACUUAGGUGGCGGCGCUGUGAGCUCGAACAGGGAGCAAGAGAGAUGGCAGCUAGGGCAAGGGAAACUCCAGCGGGGCUUGCGCAUCCCGUUUUAUAGCUGCGCGGAAGAGGGAAGGGGGAGCGGCGCGAAGGCCGGGGAAGAAGCGAUGGAGUGCUCUGCCCGGGCGGCGAUUGAGCGACGAGGGCGGUGAAGCAGGACUUCGGGGAUGACGCCGGCGGUCAUUGGGCACUGACGUCAGGGCGGCGCAGGCGCGGGUUUGCCAGUGGUUGAGAUUUGGCGGAGGCGGGCGUCGUCGUGCGGUGGAUCUGAUGGAAGUGACCGGGAAAACGGCGCUAGGAUCGAGGGCGCACAGGUGAGAAGACAGGCGGCUGCGGGCGCGCGGGUGAGCGCGGAGCAACAGAUUGUCGGGGCGGCUUCUGACAGGACGGAAAAAGGAGCUGUCGCUGCCGCGGUCUGGGUUGACGGAGGAGGAAUCGUCGUGUAGCGAAGACCGGGACGGCGCGACUGUGGCGAGGUGAUGGAAAAGACGGGCGGCAUCGGGCUCUGCGGCCGGGGUCUGGCGAUGUGAUGAUGGGCGCGGGCGGCGAGGUACUGCAGAAAGGGUUGCAGAGGGGCUUCUACCGCGAUUGGGGAAGGGGGCGCGAGAAUCCAUCUGGUCGCGGGCCGGAGACGAGGCGGAGCGGCGGAUGUCGGAGGAGUUGAGCCACGCGGCGGGGAAAAACUGAAGCGGGCAUGCAACUCGAGUGCGCCUGUCGCGGGAGAUCUGGGGGAAAAGAUCUAGUGGGCCCACCGGUCAGUCUCGGUGGUCCACUGCUCGAACUGGAGGGCGAUGCUGCGGGGUGGCUUAGGAAGAUCCGACGGUGGGUUGGGGGUCGGCGGGGUCAGAACUGGGAAGCCACGGCGAGGGGUCGGAUCGCAGGGGUCGGAAGAGCUGGAGGUUGAACACUUAGACUUGGAAAAACUAAGACAGGUGAUCAGGGGCUCGGAUUAAGAUUGACGCGAAGGAUUUUUAUCCGAGGCCGUCACAGGGGCCGAAUGGGAAUUUUGGGCAGCAGUCAUUCCAGCGCCCGGCUCAGUAGUUCCAGCGCCCCAACCCCCAGUUCCAGUGCCUAGGGAUGCAGACUCCACGCCCUAGUUUCCCGCAGAAUCGCUAGUGGUGUCGCCGUUAUCUUUGAAGUCCGCUGCGUAAUAAAUUUUCUGACUUGUAUGUUACUGAGACUUUCGGUCAUAUAAUAUCGUUAGUAGUCUCUUUAUUUGAUUUGGCACUGUUUUUGAUAUUCACUUAUGUCAUACAUGUGUGUAACUUGAUCCUGACGCACAUGUAUUUAUUGCACUCGGAUUUGCCUUAAAUCCAGAUGUGACAGCCGACCCCUGCACCAACUAAGAUGGCCGGAUAGGUGUCUACCAUCGCUGCCAGUUGAUUCGUCAACCUUCUCUUAGUUGUGCUCAUGUUAUUAAGUGUUAAAGAUCCUAAGCUAAGUUUAAGUAAUGUGGUUUCCUACAAAAGAUGCACAAGAAUUGUUGUGCUGAUACUACCACUCGUUGUGCCAUGUUGCAACAGAUUUGCUUAUGUGUGGAACUCCUACCUAUCGGCAACAGUCUUUUUUUGCUAUACUGAUCAACAUCCAAGCCAAUACCGAUGCAUUAAUCACGCACACAUGCAAAUCCCUUAAUUUUCCUCCCUGCGACUUAAUACGAUCAUUGGAAUGAGAACACGCCUACGAAUUUGGCAAAAGUGAAAAAUCAUGAUACAUUAAGAAUUAGGCCUCGAGGGCUCUAUCCUUCAUGCCUUCAAUGACUAUUGCCUAAGGGAAAGGGAACUAUAUUUAUGUCAUAUGUUUUCAUUACUAUACUUGUUGCAGUUAAAGUGUACUGGAAUUUGAAAGAAAAUAGGGAUUACAGAAUUAGAUUGUUAUCAUUACUCACUGUCACACCUAAAAAAACAUCUUAGGACCUUUUUGGAUAACCUGUGCUAAAGUUUAGCACAGUGUUAAAUUUUAGCACCCUCAAAUGGAGGGCUAAAGUUUAGUAUAUUGGGAUGUUUGGAUAGUAUGCUAAACUUUAGUAUCUAUGUUGAUAAAAAACUUAUUUACCCCUUAUUUUCCUCCUCUCCUUUACCCCCUUAUUUUCCUCCUCUCCUUUACUCCUCCUCAACUUCUUCCUUCAGCUUCCCCUCCAUCUCCUGCUUUUCUGAGACUGGACGGCACUCACCGGCGAAUUUCUAGGCCGCCGCUGCAGGGGGUAGGUGGACCAAGGCUUCUCCGGUGGGGGUCCCUGCCUGCUGCCGCGCGAGAGCAGAUAGUAGAUCGGAUUUGGCCUGGGUUCUUGCUGCGCCUGUGCUUCCUGCUACUUGAUCUGGUUCCCGUAGGAACAGGGCCGCCAUCAUUUUUCUUGGACAUGGCCGCCGGAUCCGCAUGCGGGCAGGGCCCGACUGUAGCGGAGGCCUAGCGUGGCGCAGGCUCCGGGCGUGGCCGGGCCUGUGCCGAGCGCUGCUCCUGCCCCGUGCCACGCCCGCCGCAGCCGAGCUCGUCGCCGCGUGCAGGCACUUCCUCGACCUCUGCCGGUUCCUCCGCCUCGCUAGCACCGGUGAAGGACGCGCAGGCUCGAGCGCAGCAGGCUCAGGCAGCCACGGCGGAGGCAUAUGCUCCUUUCCCAUGGUGGCGAGGCCGAGCCUGCUCCCGGCGACUCGCCCCAACUCGUCGUGUCCACCUCCUCGUCCGGCGGAGGAGCCAGCGCAGCGGCCUGGGCUUAGAGGCCGCGGUCACCGGCGACGCGGAGCCCGACCCCAACGGAGGCUACGAGGCCGGGCGGAGGAGGCGGGGCCGAGCGGAGGAGGCGUGGCCCGCGAAGGUGGCGGAGCCGGGCGGAGGAGGACGGCGGGCGGGGUGUGGCGGGGAGGAAAGAGAGGGGGACAACCAAGGAAAAUGUUGAUGGGAUCACUUUUAGCAGGUUUAGCAAGUUUUAAUACUUCUUGGAAUUGUGAAAGAAAAAUGAGGUGCUAAAUUUUAGCACACACCUUUUAGCACCCUUAUUUGGGAGCCCAUGUGCUAAAAGGGUGCUAAAAGUGGGGUGUUAAAGUUAACACCCCUUUCCAAACAGGCCCUUAUAUAUCUAAAAUAUAGUUUACUAAAUAAACAACACGCAAACAAUUCAUUUUUGGUGAAUAUACCGAGGUUGGUAUUGGCAGUGACGCACCUUGGCCUGUUUGUUCAGGGUGCCUUUACAUCUCUUAAGAUACACCUAUGGUCGGCACCCGAUAGACAUGUAGCGCUGCAAGAAGAUCAAAGGCCCCAGGCUUCUCUAAGCUUUCAACUGAAGAACAGAACUGGCACAGUCAUGCAGAUUACAUUGAGUGAGAAGACAUGAUAACAACUCAGCUAGCUGGGCAUCUAGAAUGUAGCACACAUGGGGCCAUAUUCUCUUAUCUGUUCCUACAGAGAUUAGUAGAGUAGUUGGGGUAGAGAGGUCUUAGAGCCAACAUAAUUAUGAAAUGCAAUUAAAAGGAUUUAACAAAAUAAAAUGCUAACAUCCUCCUCCCAUAGGCACGUACUGGUGGUGUAGUGAUAUAGUUAACAAAUCAACAUCAAAUGUGUUGAUCAAGCAUGUAUGUGACUGUUGAUCAUGCAAAUUGGUGCUUAUGUUCAAAUUACGAUCACGGAGAGGAAAUUCAUGAUACCUUUAACACUGCCGCACGUCGCAACAGAAAAUGAGCGUCCAUGCACCAGAACCAACAAAAUCCCUUCGUGCUUCAAUCCUGAUCAUGAAAAUAUAAUCAAAGGCUUCGGUGAAGGUAUAGUUAGUAUAUGGAAUAUAAUAGGCAUCAAAAACAAAGGUGGCAGAAGGAAAGAAAGUCCCUGGAGGUCACUUGAAGAAAGCAGACUAUCAAACCUGACUGUAGGAAGAAAACUCUGUAGAUGUGGAAGCUCCUAGCAGGGUUAAGUCCAAAGUGUUCUUCUGGAUGAGUUAAAUGGAUCUACCGAAUCAUAGACACCAGCACACACAACCUCCAACGUCCAGGGCAUUAUGGAUUUUCUCACUAGUGAUGGCCCAAAAUUUUGCAUGACAGAAAAUGUAGUCCUCUGGGUGGAUAUAUACCAUCCACAUGAAUAUCAAGUACCUAAAAUAUAAUGUUUUUAAAAAGAACAAUCAUAGAAAAGGUUCCUACGUCGAGUUCAAGAUCCUUCAACAUAUAUUUUUCGCAUUUGAUCUGGAUUUCAAGCAGGCAUAUACUUACACGGACUUUAGUUUACCCUUAAAACAUAUCAUUCAAAUAGUAUGCUUUAAACUACUACAAUUAAUCAAACCAUGUCGUCCAUAAUUCCACACCGCCAAUUAAGACGGCAAUGCAUGAGACGUUAUUAGCCAUUUGCUUAUAAUAACCAGUACUAUUGAGAAUAAACUAGCAGGUGAGCGCCAACGUGGAAUCGCCUCUUUUGAUAAUCUGAACGCUACUGGAACGCAACGUGGAAUCGCCCACUGGAUGCAAAGAUUUACCUUGCCAAACAGGUACUGAUUGAUAUUACUAGUACCUUCAUCUUCUCCUCACAGACGAGGAGGUUCAUCAUACGACGGGAGGAGCGAUGGGAUCCGGGUUGCGACGCGGCUUGCAGUUGCAGCACCCGGUAGAGGAAGAUUGGAAUUGGAUCACCUUGAGGACGAUACGAGCUCAGGCGCGAGGAGAUCCGAUCGGCAGGCCAGUGGUAGAGUGGCAUACGAAGAGGCGGCGGCGCGGAGAGGGAUGCGGAGAAGAUCCGAUCGGCAGGGAGGCGAUAUAUUUGUGUGCCAACGGAUGUUGAGGGGCGGCCACGGUCAGGCGUGAUUUGUGGGAAGAAAAUGAAGGGGUCCC
This 5497-nucleotide long non-coding RNA is filed under the name Setaria italica (foxtail millet). RNAcentral's name for it is "long non-coding RNA (SITA_LNC002536)". Lineage: Eukaryota; Viridiplantae; Streptophyta; Magnoliopsida; Poales; Poaceae. The record is from RNAcentral.